Molecule: long non-coding RNA, 484 nt
Organism: Oncorhynchus gorbuscha (pink salmon)
Lineage: Eukaryota; Metazoa; Chordata; Actinopteri; Salmoniformes; Salmonidae
Exons: 3
Source: RefSeq, a predicted model, not a curated record
GCGUUUGAGACAAGAGAGACAGCCAAUGAGGGAAAUGUUGACCAGCAGAAUGAAGAGAUGAUGGCUCUGCUAGUGUAACUGGAAAGAAAGACACAGCUUUUGAGGUCAGACUGAGCGUCAGUGAGAGCCAGGUGGAGUAGCCGAAGACAGAGAAUGCAGCAGCUGAGUUGGAUUUUCUCUGCUCGUUUGGGUUCAGGAGACGUUGGACCCUACAAUGGCGAAUUCCCAUUUCAUUGGACUGAAUUGACUGAAUUGCAAUGGAAUUGAUCCCAACCCUGUGGUCUAAUGUGGCAAAAGGUCGCAAAGUUCAAGGGGGCCGAAUACUUUCGCAAGGCACUGAAUGUCACAUAUCCACUUGUUACUCGAUAGAAAGACAGAAUUGAUGUCACUUCCUGUUUCUCCUAGUCUACUAGUUCACUGUCAAGGAUGACAGUGACAAUGCUUACUAUGGAGCACGCCUGCUAAAGAACGGCAAGAGUAUAAU